UCAAGUUAUUAAGGGUGCAGGGCGGAUGCCUUGGCACUAGGAGCCGAUGAAGGACGUGAUAAGCUGCGAUAAGCUUCGGGGAGUUGCACGUAAACUUUGAUCCGAAGAUUUCCGAAUGAGGAAACUCACUUAGAGUAAUGUCUAAGUAUCAUUAAGUGAAUACAUAGCUUAAUGAGGGGAACUCAGGGAACUGAAACAUCUAAGUACCUGAAGGAAGAGAAAGAAAUUCGAUUCCGUAAGUAGCGGCGAGCGAACGCGGAUUAGCCCAAACCAAUAAAGUUUUCUUUAUUGGGGUUGCGGACAUAUCAUAACGAAGAGGUAUCGUAAUUGAAGAGGUUUGGAAAGACCCACCACAGAAGGUAAUAGUCCUGUAUGUUAAACGAGAAGACUUCAGAUAUGAUCCAGAGUACCACGGGACACGUGAAACCCUGUGGGAAGCAGGAGGGACCACCCUCCAAGGCUAAAUACUACCUAGUGACCGAUAGCGUAUAGUACCGUGAGGGAAAGGUGAAAAGAACCCCGGGAGGGGAGUGAAAUAGAACCUGAAACCCUGCACUUACAAGCUGUGGAAGCACAUUUCUUGUGUGACCGCGUACUUUUUGUAGAACGGGCCAACGAGUUACGUUAAGUAGCAAGGUUAAGCACUUAAGGUGCGGAGCCGUAGCGAAAGCGAGUUUUAACUGAGCGUUCAGUUACUUGACGUAGACCCGAAACCGGGCGACCUACCCAUGAGCAGGAUGAAGCGAAAGUAAAAUUUCGUGGAGGUCCGAACCCACGAGCGUUGAAAAGCUCGGGGAUGACUUGUGGGUAGCGGUGAAAUUCCAAUCGAGCCCGGAGAUAGCUGGUUCUCCCCGAAAUAGCUUUAGGGCUAGCCUCAAGGUGAGAGAUACGGAGGUAGAGCACUGAAUGUCCUAGGGGGUAUUGCACCUACCGAAGACUAUCAAACUCCGAAUGCCGUCAUCUUAUACUUGGGAGUCAGACUGUGGGUGAUAAGAUUCAUAGUCGAAAGGGCAACAGCCCAGAUCGUCAGCUAAGGUCCCUAAAUGUAAGUUAAGUGGUAAAGGAUGUGGGAUUGCACAGACAACCAGGAUGUUGGCUUAGAAGCAGCCACUCAUUCAAAGAGUGCGUAAUAGCUCACUGGUCGAGUGAUCCUGCGCCGAAGAUUUCCGGGGCUAAAACUUACUACCGAAGCUACGGCAUCAGUAAUGAUGGGUAGGGGAGCUUCCCAUACAGGUUGAAGCAUGACCGUAAGGACAUGUGGACAGUAUGGGAGUGAGAAUGUUGGCAUGAGUAGCGAGAUGUGGGUGAGAAUCCCACAGGCCGUAAACCCAAGGUUUCCAGGGGAAGGUUCGUCCGCCCUGGGUUAGUCGGGACCUAAGCUGAGGCCGAAAGGCGUAGGUGAUGGACAACAGGUUGAUAUUCCUGUACUACCGAUAACCGUUUGAGAGAAGGGAUGACACAGUAGGAUAAGCUAAGCACACUGUUGGUUAUGUGUGCCCAAGCAUUGAGGCAGUCAAAGCAGGCAAAUCCGCUUUGAUAAUGCUGGGAUGUGAUGGGGAGCGAAAUUUAGUAGCGAAGUAGCUGAUUUCACACUGUCAAGAAAAGUCUCUAUCGAGGUUAAAGGUACCCGUACCGCAAACCGACACAGGUGGGUGAGGAGAGUAUCCUAAGGCCAGCGAGAGAACUGUUGUUAAGGAACUCGGCAAAAUGACCCCGUAACUUAGGGAUAAGGGGUGCCACCAUCCGGUGGCCGCAGAGAAUAGGCCCAAGCGACUGUUUACCAAAAACAUAGGUUUCUGCUAAGUCGCAAGACGAUGUAUAGGAGCUGACGCCUGCCCGGUGCUGGAAGGUUAAGGGGAUCUGUUAGAGCAAUCGAAGCAGUGAACUUAAGCCCCAGUAAACGGCGGCCGUAACUAUAACGGUCCUAAGGUAGCGAAAUUCCUUGUCGGGUAAGUUCCGACCCGCACGAAAGGCGUAACGAUUUGGGCACUGUCUCAACAACAGACUCGGUGAAAUUGUAAUUCCGGUGAAGAUGCCGGAUACCUGCGACAGGACGGAAAGACCCCAUGGAGCUUUACUGUAGCUUGACAUUGGGUCUUGGUACUACAUGUACAGGAUAGGUGGGAGGCUUUGAAACCAGGACGCCAGUUUUGGCGGAGCCAUCCUUGGGAUACCACCCUUGUAGUACUGGGACUCUAACCAUAGGCCAUGAAUCUGGUCUUGGGACACUGUCAGGUGGGCAGUUUGACUGGGGCGGUCGCCUCCCAAAAGGUAACGGAGGCGCUCAAAGGUUCUCUCAGUACGGUCGGAAAUCGUACGUAGAGUGUAAAGGCAAAAGAGAGCUUGAUUGCAAGACAUACAGGUCGAGCAAGGAUGAAAAUCGGACUUAGUGAUCCGGUGGUUCUGCGUGGAAGGGCCAUCGCUCAACGGAUAAAAGCUACCCUGGGGAUAACAGGCUUAUCUCCCCCAAGAGUCCACAUCGACGGGGAGGUUUGGCACCUCGAUGUCGGCUCAUCACAUCCUGGGGCUGUAGUAGGUCCCAAGGGUUGGGCUGUUCGCCCAUUAAAGUGGUACGCGAGCUGGGUUCAGAACGUCGUGAGACAGUUCGGUCCCUAUCCGUCGCAGGCGUAGGAAAUUUGAGAAGACCUGUCCUUAGUACGAGAGGACCGGGAUGGACGUACCUCUGGUGUACCAGUUGUCCUGCCAAGGGCAUGGCUGGGUAGCUAUGUACGGAAUGGAUAAGCGCUGAAAGCAUCUAAGCGCGAAGCCAACUUCAAGAUAAGAUUUCCCACCGCAAGGGUAAGACCCCAGAAAGACUAUCUGGUUGAUAGGUCGAAGGUGUAAGUGCAGCAAUGUAUUUAGCUUAUCGAUACUAAUAGGUCGAGGACUUGACCAA
Molecule: ribosomal RNA, 2896 nt
Filed under: Clostridioides difficile
Lineage: Bacteria; Bacillati; Bacillota; Clostridia; Peptostreptococcales; Peptostreptococcaceae
Description: bacterial LSU rRNA
Rfam family: Bacterial large subunit ribosomal RNA
Source: RNAcentral